This 786-nucleotide ribosomal RNA is filed under the name Triticum aestivum (bread wheat). Its description in RNAcentral is "partial small subunit ribosomal RNA". The record is from RNAcentral. Lineage: Eukaryota; Viridiplantae; Streptophyta; Magnoliopsida; Poales; Poaceae.
AUGUCACAAGCAAAGCUCAUCGUCGCAACGGUGACGGCACUUCAGCUCCUCAUGGCGACAGCCGUCGCCGCCGUCCAGGUAGCCUUACCUGGGUGCCCGCAGGCCUGCGGCAACGUCACCGUCCCCUACCCUUUCGGCUUCCGGCGAGGCUGCUUUCGCAAGGGCUUCAACCUCACCUGCGACGAGACGCGCCGUCCGCCGAGGCUGCUCCUGGGCGACGGCGUGGAGGUGGACGCCAUCUCCCUGGCGGACGGCACGGUGCAUGUGCAGACCAAGGUCGUGGCAUUCCGACCACUUUACACAAACGGUGCCGUCGGCGCGAGGAGAUCUAUCGACCACAACUACUCGUGGUACUGCGGCCUGCCGGAAGUGUACAAGAGCGGCGGCGCGCAGCUCGCGGUGUCCACCGAGCACAACGUCUUUGUGGCCAUCGGGUGCAACUUCAUCGGCUACCUCGUCGCAGUCAGCGACGGGGGUCGCGAGUAUGUCAGCACAUGCUCCACGCUGUGCAACGGGAAAACCCGGGACGCCUUGUGCACGGGCGUCGGCUGCUGCUGGACGACCAUCGCGCAGCGUUACCCCGGGUACCAGGUGAAGUUCAAGGAUUUGGACGAUACGGCGGCAGCGUACGCGGGCCAAAGCCGUGCGUCGGUGGCCGCGUUCAUAGUCGAUCGCGAGUGGUUCGUAGGCACCAUGCAGAACACUAUCAGCUUCAAUGAUUUUGUCAAUGAUGAUUUCGGUAACGGUCCGUCCAGCAUGCCCACCGUGCUGCACAAUGGUGGCUAG